AACGCACAUUGCGCCCUUUGGUAUUCCGAGGGGCAUGCCUGUUCGAGCGUCAUUUGCACUCUCAAGCUCUGCUUGGUGUUGGCGGCCGCCCCGCUGGGGCGCCGCCGAAACGCAGCGGCGACGUAGCUGGUUUCCUGGCGUAGUGACAUUUCUCUCGCCCCGGAACCGGUCGUGCGUCCGCCGGACAACGCCCCUAUUUUCAAUCGACCUCGGAUCAGGUAGGACUACCCGCUGAACUUAA
RNAcentral lists this unclassified non-coding RNA (241 nucleotides) under uncultured fungus. Its description in RNAcentral is "partial contains 5.8S ribosomal RNA, internal transcribed spacer 2, and large subunit ribosomal RNA". Lineage: Eukaryota; Fungi. The record is from RNAcentral.